UAUCAAUCCGGGAUGAUGCAACGGAACGGGGAUCUUUCGCCGGGCCGUGCGUAGAGGAAACCCGGCGGCCGAUUGCAUCAGAAGCUGAGGGCCUGCGGUACAGCAGACCUAUCCAUCUGAGGACGUCUAGGCCUACCCUGUAUGCUUUAAGCCCUGAGAGAAAUAUCUCCAUUCUAUCCUACUGAACAUGUUCUUCACAUCUGGAAAAGUGGAGAUGGCAGUGUAAUUGGAAAGUCCACUCUCCUAAUCCUGAGCUGUACAGAGCACUGGCAAUUCCAAUGGGCGCUACAGGUGCUGAUCAGGCCCAAAACGAGAGGUCUCUAAAUGGGAGCUGCAUUUCUCACCGAGAAAAGAACAAGUGGAAGAGACAGACUAGUGUGAGCAUGCAUUUCUCUGUCCAUAUGCAGAUGUUUUGCCAUAUUGGCAAUAUUUUGAGUUCCAUGACCUUCCACCCUGUGCCGUCAUGUGUUCAUGAGCGAACUGGAACCAAAUGGCAGCAGAUGGAUGGGUAUCCUCACAUAGAGGUAUGUGCUGUACCCCAGCAACCCUUACUCUGGUACCUGUUUGCCUCUCAGAUGGGCAGCCCUGUGGGACUAGAGGCUGGUCUUUUAUACUGCCUUGUUCCUAGCCAGAUUACCAGUCACAUGACCUGCCUUUAGCAAAAAGGGUGCCAAAGGCUGAGGAAGAACACCCCAAACAUGGAUUCUCAACAGCAACUAAGGGAAAUCCAAGAUGGCUGUGUGCAGAUAACAUAAAAAUUGAAAAAUAAAGAAAGUUCCCCUACAGAGGGACA
RNAcentral lists this long non-coding RNA (793 nucleotides) under Gopherus agassizii (Agassiz's desert tortoise). RNAcentral's name for it is "lncRNA (ENSGAGG00000008357.1)". The record is from RNAcentral. Lineage: Eukaryota; Metazoa; Chordata; Testudines; Testudinidae.